CCUGGCUCAGAGUGAACGCUAGUGAUAUGCCUAACACAUGCGAGUUUUAAUUUAUAUGAAAAUUUCAUAUUAAUAGCGUACGGGUGAGUAAUACAUAAGAAUUUACUUCGUAUUUUAGAAAUUAAAAUCUAUAAAGAUUAUAUUGGAUUAAUAUUAAAUAUAAUUUGAAAAUUUAAUUUGGUACGUAAUUAGCUUAUGGAGAAUUAGAUAGUUGGUGAGGUAAAAGCUUACCUAGUCUACAAUUCUUAGCUGGUCUUAGCGGAUGAUCAGCCACAUUGGGACUGAAACAUGGCCCAAGCUCUUUUGGAGGCAGCAGUGAGGAAUAUUGGACAAUGAACGAAAGUUUGAUCCAGCAAUAUCACGUGAAUGAAGAAGGUUUAUUUUAUUGUAAAGUUCUUUCGACGAGGAAGAUAAUGACAUUACUCGUAAAAGAAGUACCCGACUAACCUCGUGCCAGCAGUCGCGGUAAUACGGGGGGGGCAAGCGUUACUCUACGUUACUGGGU
This 505-nucleotide ribosomal RNA is filed under the name uncultured bacterium. RNAcentral's name for it is "bacterial SSU rRNA". It matches the Rfam family "Bacterial small subunit ribosomal RNA", at positions 18 to 559 of the family's 1533-position model. The record is from RNAcentral.